UACGUAGGGCGCAAGCGUUAUCCGGAAUUAUUGGGCGUAAAGAGCUCGUAGGCGGUUUGUCGCGUCUGCCGUGAAAGUCCGGGCUCAACUCCGGAUCUGCGGUGGGUACGGGCAGACUAGAGUGAUGUAGGGGAGACUGGAAUUCCUGGUGUAGCGGUGAAAUGCGCAGAUAUCAGGAGGAACACCGGUGGCGAAGGCGGGUCUCUGGGCAAUAACUGACGCUGAGGAGCGAAAGCGUGGGGAGCGAACAGG
RNAcentral lists this ribosomal RNA (252 nucleotides) under uncultured bacterium. Its description in RNAcentral is "partial 16S ribosomal RNA". It matches the Rfam family "Bacterial small subunit ribosomal RNA", at positions 524 to 776 of the family's 1533-position model. The record is from RNAcentral.